UGCAGGUGCUAGCCAGGAACAUGGGAG
Molecule: unclassified non-coding RNA, 27 nt
Filed under: Mus musculus (house mouse)
Lineage: Eukaryota; Metazoa; Chordata; Mammalia; Rodentia; Muridae
Description: oocyte_clustered_small_RNA6510
Source: RNAcentral